Molecule: ribosomal RNA, 117 nt
Filed under: Danio rerio (zebrafish)
Lineage: Eukaryota; Metazoa; Chordata; Actinopteri; Cypriniformes; Danionidae
Source: RNAcentral
CCAUACAGCCAUAUCACCCUGCAGCCCAAGACCGGUUACUCACUGAAGCUAAGCAGGGCUGAGCCUGGUCAGUACCUGGAUGGGAGACCACUAGGGAACACUAGGUUGCUGUUGGAA